RNAcentral lists this ribosomal RNA (480 nucleotides) under uncultured bacterium. RNAcentral's name for it is "bacterial SSU rRNA". It matches the Rfam family "Bacterial small subunit ribosomal RNA", at positions 328 to 793 of the family's 1533-position model. The record is from RNAcentral.
UCAGUCGACUCCUACGGGGAGGCAGCAGUGGGGGGAAUAUUGCACAAUGGGCGCAAGCCUGAUGCAGCCAUGCCGCGUGUGUGAAGAAGGACCUUCGGGUUGUUAAAGCACUUUCAGUCGUGAGGAAGGUAGUGUAGUUAAUAGCUGCAUUAUUUGACGUUAGCGACAGAAGAAGCACCGGCUAACUCCGUGCCAGCAGCCGCGGUAAUACGGAGGGUGCGAGCGUUAAUCGGAAUUACUGGGCGUAAAGCGCAUGCAGGUGGUUUGUUAAGUCAGAUGUGAAAGCCCGGGGCUCAACCUCGGAAUAGCAUUUGAAACUGGCAGACUAGAGUACUGUAGAGGGGGGUAGGAAUUUCAGGUGUAGCGGUGAAAUGCGUAGAGAUCUGAAGGAAUACCGGUGGCGAAGGCGGCCCCCUGGACAGAUACUGACACUCAGAUGCGAAAGCGUGGGGAGCAAACAGGAUUAGAUACCCCUGGUAG